AUUAUAUGUAAUUAACAUAUAAUGUGUAUUUAAAAUUAAUUUAUCAAUUUAACUCCAAUAAAAUUAUGAAAUUUUUUUCAGGACCUGAAGAUGAAUUAUGAAAGGGUGUGACAAGUAUCAGUAAUGCAGGAAGAUGCAGAGAUAGAGCAAGAAGAGUAGUGAAAAGAGAAAGCUCCUAAAUAAAGAGCAAAUUAUUGGCAUGGGAAAAAUUCCGAUACAAUUUCCUGGUCUAAACACUCCUGUGUUUAGAGGAAAAGAAUUAAUUCAACAGCAAAAACUGCUUGUAAAUCUUGAAAGAAAGCAAAAACUUAUGGAAUUACCACAAAGUCAGACCAGACCGAUGCAAAUAAAAUUAUCGCCAUUGGAAUGUGGUUGGACGAGUGUUACAAUGGAUGGCAGAAGCAUUGAAUCAGAUCUUAUUGGAAAAGAUACAUUGAAAAUUUUGAAACCUGGAUUUUGGAAAACAAAAUGAUAACUUGUAUGACCGGUAAUUUAGCACGUAAGAAUAGAAUCAGUUCAUUUAUAGUAACCGGAAAUGGAAAUGGAUUAGCUGGAUUUGCGUUAUCAAAAGCCAAAGCAUCCCUAAAGACGGUUAAAAAUCCCUAAAGACGGUUAAAAAUAGGGUUGGUCAAAGACUAAUGUAUAUUCCUACAUAUAAGGAAUACACUGUGUUACAUGAUUUCUUUACACAGUUUGAGGAUAUAAAAAUAUUUGUAAAGAAAAUUCAUGAAGGAUAAUGAGCUUGUUUGUCAUCAUGCGAUAAAAGCAUGUUGCGAGAUAAUUGGCAUAAAGGAUAUGUAUGCCAAAGUACAAGGAGGAAUGUAAAAGCAUUCUUUAUUGGUUUAUUGCAACAGUGAUACAGAAGCAACAUUACAAGUACUAUAUUUACAGAUA
This 894-nucleotide long non-coding RNA is filed under the name Camponotus floridanus (Florida carpenter ant). RNAcentral's name for it is "uncharacterized LOC112637105, transcript variant X4". Lineage: Eukaryota; Metazoa; Arthropoda; Insecta; Hymenoptera; Formicidae. The record is from RNAcentral.